This 829-nucleotide ribosomal RNA is filed under the name uncultured bacterium. Its description in RNAcentral is "bacterial SSU rRNA". It matches the Rfam family "Bacterial small subunit ribosomal RNA", at positions 51 to 878 of the family's 1533-position model. The record is from RNAcentral.
ACACAUGCAAGUCGAACGGAGCUAUUAGACGGAAGCCUUCGGGCGGAAGAUUAAUAGCUUAGUGGCGGACGGGUGAGUAACGCGUGAGUAACCUGCCUCUCAGAGGGGGAUAACGUUCUGAAAAGAACGCUAAUACCGCAUAUAAUCAAGAAACCGCAUGAUUUUUUGAUGAAAGGAGCAAUCCGCUGAGAGAUGGACUCGCGUCUGAUUAGCUAGAUGGUGGGGUAACGGCCUACCAUGGCGACGAUCAGUAGCCGGACUGAGAGGUUGAACGGCCACAUUGGGACUGAGACACGGCCCAGACUCCUACGGGAGGCAGCAGUGGGGGAUAUUGCGCAAUGGGGGAAACCCUGACGCAGCAAUGCCGCGUGAAGGAAGAAGGUUUUCGGAUUGUAAACUUCUUUUGUUAAGGACGAAGAAUGACGGUACUUAACGAAUAAGCUCCGGCUAACUAUGUGCCAGCAGCCGCGGUAAUACAUAGGGAGCAAGCGUUAUCCGGAUUUACUGGGUGUAAAGGGUGCGUAGGCGGCUAAGCAAGUCAGAUGUGAAAUACACGGGCUCAACCCGUGAGCUGCAUUUGAAACUGUUUAGCUUGAGUGAAGUAGAGGCAGGCGGAAUUCCCGGUGUAGCGGUGAAAUGCGUAGAGAUCGGGAGGAACACCAGUGGCGAAGGCGGCCUGCUGGGCUUUAACUGACGCUGAGGCACGAAAGCGUGGGUAGCAAACAGGAUUAGAUACCCUGGUAGUCCACGCUGUAAACGAUGAUUACUAGGUGUGGGUGGACUGACCCCAUCCGUGCCGCAGUUAACACAAUAAGUAAUCCACCUGGGG